GAUGAACGCUGGCGGCGUGCCUAACACAUGCAAGUCGAGCGCGUCUGAUUUGAUGCUUGCAUUAAUGAAAGAUGAGCGGCGGACGGGUGAGUAACGCGUGGGUAACCUGCCCUAUACACAUGGAUAACAUACUGAAAAGUUUACUAAUACAUGAUAAUAUAUAUUUACGGCAUCGUAGAUAUAUCAAAGUGUUAGCGGUAUAGGAUGGACCCGCGUCUGAUUAGCUAGUUGGUGAGAUAACUGCCCACCAAGGCGACGAUCAGUAGCCGACCUGAGAGGGUGAUCGGCCACAUUGGAACUGAGACACGGUCCAAACUCCUACGGGAGGCAGCAGUGGGGAAUAUUGCACAAUGGGCGCAAGCCUGAUGCAGCAACGCCGCGUGAACGAUGAAGGUCUUCGGAUCGUAAAGUUCUGUUGCAGGGGAAGAUAAUGACGGUACCCUGUGAGGAAGCCCCGGCUAACUACGUGCCAGCCGCCGCGGUAA
RNAcentral lists this ribosomal RNA (485 nucleotides) under uncultured Eubacteriales bacterium. Its description in RNAcentral is "bacterial SSU rRNA". It matches the Rfam family "Bacterial small subunit ribosomal RNA", at positions 28 to 523 of the family's 1533-position model. The record is from RNAcentral. Lineage: Bacteria; Bacillati; Bacillota; Clostridia; Eubacteriales.